GAUGAACGCUGGCGGCGUGCCUAAUACAUGCAAGUCGAGCGAACAGACGAGGAGCUUGCUCCUCUGACGUUAGCGGCGGACGGGUGAGUAACACGUGGAUAACCUACCUAUAAGACUGGGAUAACUUCGGGAAACCGGAGCUAAUACCGGAUAAUAUAUUGAACCGCAUGGUUCAAUAGUGAAAGACGGUUUUGCUGUCACUUAUAGAUGGAUCCGCGCCGCAUUAGCUAGUUGGUAAGGUAACGGCUUACCAAGGCAACGAUGCGUAGCCGACCUGAGCGCGUGAUCGGCCACACUGGAACUGAGACACGGUCCAGACUCCUACGGGAGGCAGCAGUAGGGAAUCUUCCGCAAUGGGCGAAAGCCUGACGGAGCAACGCCGCGUGAGUGAUGAAGGUCUUCGGAUCGUAAAACUCUGUUAUUAGGGAAGAACAAAUGUGUAAGUAACUAUGCACGUCUUGACGGUACCUAAUCAGAAAGCCACGGCUAACUACGUG
RNAcentral lists this ribosomal RNA (497 nucleotides) under uncultured bacterium. RNAcentral describes it as "partial 16S ribosomal RNA". It matches the Rfam family "Bacterial small subunit ribosomal RNA", at positions 28 to 507 of the family's 1533-position model. The record is from RNAcentral.